CGGGGCGUGGCGCAGCCUGGUAGCGCACCUGCUUUGGGAGCAGGGGGCCGGAGGUUCGAAUCCUCUCGCCCCGACCA
RNAcentral lists this transfer RNA (77 nucleotides) under Acidobacteriota bacterium. RNAcentral's name for it is "Acidobacteria bacterium tRNA-Pro". It matches the Rfam family "tRNA". Rfam says of the family: Transfer RNA (tRNA) molecules are approximately 80 nucleotides in length. Their secondary structure includes four short double-helical elements and three loops (D, anti-codon, and T loops). The record is from RNAcentral. Lineage: Bacteria; Pseudomonadati; Acidobacteriota. RNAcentral also lists the same sequence under 2 other names.